RNAcentral lists this transfer RNA (75 nucleotides) under Nitrosopumilales archaeon. RNAcentral describes it as "tRNA-Ala". It matches the Rfam family "tRNA". Rfam says of the family: Transfer RNA (tRNA) molecules are approximately 80 nucleotides in length. The record is from RNAcentral. Lineage: Archaea; Thermoproteati; Nitrososphaerota; Nitrososphaeria; Nitrosopumilales.
GGGCCGGUGGUUUAGUGGUAUAAUGCCGCGUUCGCAACGCGGAUGUCGAGGGUUCAAUUCCCUCCCGGUCCACUA